This 222-nucleotide ribosomal RNA is filed under the name uncultured bacterium. RNAcentral's name for it is "partial 16S ribosomal RNA". It matches the Rfam family "Bacterial small subunit ribosomal RNA", at positions 109 to 334 of the family's 1533-position model. The record is from RNAcentral.
AGUAAUACAUCGGAACGUGUCUUCUAGUGGGGGAUAACUGCCCGAAAGGGCAGCUAAUACCGCAUGAGACCUGAGGGUGAAAGCGGGUGAUCGCAAGACCUCGCGCUGGAAGAGCGGCCGAUGUCCGAUUAGCUAGUUGGUGAGGUAAAGGCUCACCAAGGCGACGAUCGGUAGCUGGUCUGAGAGGACGACCAGCCACACUGGGACUGAGACACGGCCCAG